RNAcentral lists this ribosomal RNA (446 nucleotides) under uncultured bacterium. RNAcentral's name for it is "partial 16S ribosomal RNA". It matches the Rfam family "Bacterial small subunit ribosomal RNA", at positions 28 to 507 of the family's 1533-position model. The record is from RNAcentral.
GAUGAACGCUGGCGGCAUGCUUAACACUUGCAAGUCGAGCGGACAAACCGGGAAACUGUGUUUCUAGUGGCAGCCGGGGGCGUAACACGAACAAACCGGCCCCUGGGAGGUGAACAACGGCUGGAAACGGCUACCAAUACCCCGUAGCCGGUGAAACAUAAAGAGGAAUCCACCCGAGGGGAGGCUCGCGUUUGCUUAGCCAGAUGGAGAGACCCUAGCCUACCAAGGCGAUGGGCAGUAGACCGUCGGAGAGGAUGAACGGCCACACUGGGACUGAGACACGGACCAGACUCCUACGGGAGGCAGGAGUGGGGAAGUUGCCGCAAUGGGCGAAAGGCUGACGGAGCAAUGCCGCGGGGAGAUAGAAGGACCAGGGGUCGUGAACUUCGUUUCCCGGAGAAGAAGCAAUGACGGUACCUGGGGAAUAAGCAACGGCUAACUAUGUG